RNAcentral lists this ribosomal RNA (484 nucleotides) under uncultured bacterium. RNAcentral's name for it is "partial 16S ribosomal RNA". It matches the Rfam family "Bacterial small subunit ribosomal RNA", at positions 30 to 507 of the family's 1533-position model. The record is from RNAcentral.
AUUGAACGCUGGCGGCAGGCCUAACACAUGCAAGUCGAGCGGAUGAAGGGAGCUUGCUCCUGGAUUCAGCGGCGGACGGGUGAGUAAUGCCUAGGAAUCUGCCUGGUAGUGGGGGAUAACGUCCGGAAACGGGCGCUAAUACCGCAUACGUCCUGAGGGAGAAAGUGGGGGAUCUUCGGACCUCACGCUAUCAGAUGAGCCUAGGUCGGAUUAGCUAGUUGGUGGGGUAAAGGCCUACCAAGGCGACGAUCCGUAACUGGUCUGAGAGGAUGAUCAGUCACACUGGAACUGAGACACGGUCCAGACUCCUACGGGAGGCAGCAGUGGGGAAUAGUGGACAAUGGGCGAAAGCCUGAUCCAGCCAUGCCGCGUGUGUGAAGAAGGUCUUCGGAUUGUAAAGCACUUUAAGUUGGGAGGAAGGGCAGUAAGUUAAUACCUUGCUGUUUUGACGGUACCAACAGAAUAAGCACCGGCUAACUUCGUG